RNA transcript from Camelus dromedarius (Arabian camel), 2334 nucleotides. It is a transcript of the gene named chimerin 2, with no coding region annotated. NCBI's taxonomy places the organism in Eukaryota, Metazoa, Chordata, Mammalia, Artiodactyla, Camelidae. The transcript is spliced from 14 exons. The record is from RefSeq and is a predicted model, not a curated record.
GGCCGCCCGGGCGCCCUGGUCCCAGCUGCGCGCCGGGGAGCGCGAACGGCAGCUGGGGCUCGGCUGGAGCCGCGAUUCGUCCGCCCCGGCCGCCCCUCAGUCUCCCUCCGCUCGCACCUACCCCCGACACCCGGAGAAAAGCGUGCGAGGGCGCCGAGAGGGACGGAAACCACAAAUAAAUAGCGGCGGCAGCAGCGCGUCAUCUGGCGGAGCAGGAAGUGCAGGCAGAGUCCGGAGGCUGGUGCUUUCUGCGCGUCCCCAGGACUUUGCCAUGGGCUGGGGGCCGCGGAGGCUGCGAGCGGCCGGGCCAGGGCAGCGGCGGCGGUGUCCGCUCCGGGGCUGAGCAAGCAGCUACGCGCGAGGCGCGCGGAGAUGGCAGCGUCCAGCAACUCCAGCCUGUCCGGCUCCUCAGUGUCCUCCGAUGCUGAAGAGUACCAGCCUCCAAUAUGGAAAUCGUACUUGUAUCAGUUACAGCAAGAGGCCCCUCGUCCCAAGAGGAUCAUUUGUCCUGGGGAGGUGGAAAACAGACCAAAAUAUUAUGGAAGAGAGUUUCACGGGAUCAUCUCCCGAGAGCAGGCAGAUGAGCUUCUCGGAGGCGUGGAGGGCGCCUACAUCCUUAGAGAAAGCCAGCGCCAGCCAGGGUGCUACACGUUAGCCCUAAGGUUCGGAAACCAGACCUUAAACUACAGGCUCUUCUAUGAUGGAAAACACUUUGUGGGCGAGAAGAGGUUUGAAUCGAUUCACGAUCUGGUCACAGAUGGCUUGAUAACGUUGUACAUAGAAACAAAGGCUUCCGAAUACAUUUCCAAAAUGACAACAAACCCCAUUUAUGAACACAUUGGAUAUGCCACUUUACUCAGAGAAAAAGUCUCCAGGAGGCUAAGCAGAUCUAAAAACGAAUCAAGGAAAGCCAGUGUCACAAGUGAAGAACACACAGCUGUGGAAAAGAUCUCCUCCCUGGUCCGAAGGGCCGCCCUCACACACAACGACAACCACUUCAACUAUGAGAAGACACACAACUUUAAGGUCCACACUUUCCGAGGCCCGCACUGGUGUGAAUACUGUGCCAACUUCAUGUGGGGGCUCAUUGCCCAAGGGGUCCGGUGCUCAGACUGUGGAUUAAACGUACACAAGCAGUGUUCCAAGCACGUUCCCAACGACUGCCAACCUGAUCUCAAGAGGAUCAAGAAAGUGUACUGCUGUGACCUCACGACGCUCGUGAAGGCUCACAACGCUCAGAGACCUAUGGUGGUGGACAUAUGCAUUCGGGAAAUUGAAGCAAGAGGAUUAAAGUCAGAAGGCCUUUAUAGAGUCUCUGGGUUCACUGAACACAUUGAAGAUGUUAAAAUGGCAUUUGACAGAGAUGGUGAAAAGGCAGAUAUAUCUGCCAACAUCUAUCCAGACAUAAACAUCAUCACUGGAGCCCUUAAACUGUAUUUCAGAGACUUACCCAUUCCCGUCAUCACCUAUGAUACCUAUUCCAAAUUUAUAGAAGCAGCAAAAAUCUCCAAUGCAGAUGAGAGGCUGGAAGCAGUCCAUGAAGUGCUGAUGCUGCUGCCUCCUGCCCACUAUGAGACCCUCCGAUACCUGAUGAUCCACCUCAAGAAGGUGACUCUGAAUGAAAAGGACAAUUUAAUGAAUGCUGAAAAUCUGGGGAUCGUGUUCGGGCCCACUCUGAUGAGGCCCCCUGAGGACAGCACCCUCACCACCCUCCAUGACAUGCGGUACCAAAAGCUGAUUGUGCAGAUUUUAAUAGAAAACGAAGAUGUUUUGUUUUAAGCCACCAGGGAAAUGAACUGAAUGGCCCCAGCCCCAUCUAAAGCUGAUAAGGCUAAAGAAAUAAAACCAUUUCUUAGACUGGUUCUGUUUUCCAAACAAGUGACAGAAUUUCCUGGACCGCAGUGGACUGCCAGGUCGGCUGCUGUGUCUCAUAGACACUGGCCCCUCGAAGGGAGAACAGCAAAGAUGCGGUGUCUUUUCCUUUGAUUGUCUAAGAUGAUUCAUGUAAUUACUCACCAGUCUUGUUUUGGAGUGACCAGAAGAGCAUUACUGUGUGAUAAGUGAGCUGAAGGCGGGGAGGGCGGUGCAGCUGACAUCCUGGAAAAUCCCAAGGGCUAUGGGGAUGGACUCCAUCGGCACACGGGGGUCAAAACGGUUCUGCUUGGUUCCUUCUAUUAUCAUUCCUCCCAACUGUACAGAUUUGUUUGUUGUAGCUUAUAUACUUCUUGAUACUGUCAAAAAAUUAUCUGAAAUGGUUUUAUUUUGUGAAGUGAACAAUACUUUGUAAUUUAUGAUAGUGUAAAUGGAAGGAAAAGCAUUAAAUGUAUUAAAUUC